CAAAAGCCUGGUCCUGACUUUAACGUCAGUUGUAGCCCAACUUACACAUGCAAGUACCCGCACUCCUGUGAGAAUGCCCUUUAUUACCAAUAGGAAAAAAGGAGCAGGCAUCAGGCACACACCCCGUAGCCCAAGACGCCUUGCUUAGCCACACCCCCAAGGGAAAUCAGCAGUGACAAACAUUAGGCCAUGAGCGAAAGCUUGACUUAGCUAGGGCUAAAAGGGCCGGUAAAACUCGUGCCAGCAACCGCGGUUAUACGAGAGGCCCAAAUUGACGCACCACGGCGUAAAGUGUGAUUAGAGACAAAAAGAAACUAGGACCGAACGCCCCCUAUGCUGUCAUACGCUACGGAGGACACGAAGCCCGACAACGAAAGUGGCCCUAUGAGCCUUGAACUCACGACAGCUAAGACACAAACUGGGAUUAGAUACCCCACUAUGCUUGGCCUUAAACUAAGGUGAUAAUCUACACCCUUCACCCGCCAGGGAACUACGAGCCCCAGCUUAAAACCCAAGGGACUUGGCGGUGCCUCAAACCCACCUAGAGGAGCCUGUCCUAUAACCGAUAAUCCCCGUUAAACCUCACCCCUUCUUGCCAGUCCCGCCUAUAUACCGCCGUCGCCAGUUUACCUUAUGAAAGAACAACAGUAAGCAAAACGGGCAAUCCCCAACACGUCAGGUCGAGGUGUAGCGAAUGGAGGGGGAAGAGAUGGGCUACAUUCUCUGAAAACAGAACACUACGAAGGGCACAAUGAAAAAUGUGCAGUCGAAGGUGGAUUUAGCAGUAAAAAGGAAAAAGAGAGCCCUUUUGAAACCGGCCCUGAGGCGCGUACACACCGCCCGUCACUCUCCUCGAACAACGAAAUGACAGUAUAUAAGAACCUAGUAAAAUAGAGAGGAGGCAAGUCGUAACAUGGUAAGUGUACCGGAAGGUGCACUUGGAAUAAU
This 948-nucleotide non-coding RNA is filed under the name Enchelycore pardalis (leopard moray eel). RNAcentral describes it as "12S ribosomal RNA". It matches the Rfam family "Bacterial small subunit ribosomal RNA". The record is from RNAcentral. Lineage: Eukaryota; Metazoa; Chordata; Actinopteri; Anguilliformes; Muraenidae.